Molecule: long non-coding RNA, 4264 nt
Filed under: Salmo salar (Atlantic salmon)
Lineage: Eukaryota; Metazoa; Chordata; Actinopteri; Salmoniformes; Salmonidae
Description: lncRNA (ENSSSAG00000116942.1)
Source: RNAcentral
UGAGAGGUGUGGCUGUAUCUAGGGGAAUUUGUAUUUAGCUGAACCCGCUAGCUAGCUAAAUUUCAGCUAGCGAUUGCUAUGAAGUCACCUAAAUUAUUUUAAAUAACGAUUGAGGUAGCUACACUAUGUAAUCUAACUCAACACUUAACUGCUACAAACUAAUUUGAAUUGCAAUCAAUAAUCAUAUGAAGCUUUAUUUAUACAGUUCACUACAGACAUGGAAUGCAACACAAUGUUCUUUACAGGAAAAAAUUAUAAAAAAUUAUGAAAAUAAAACCUGAAAUAUUUACUUCACAACAAAAAACUAAAAAGCACUCUAAGGAAAAGCAAAGCUAAAAAUAUGUGUUUUAAGAUCUCUUCUAAAUGUCCACAGUUUAGGCCUCCCUCAGGUUCUCUGGCAGGCUAUUCGAGAGGCUGGGGCAAUAAUAACUAAAGGCCUCCUUUCCAGGAGUCUUGGUCCUAGGCUUUGGGAUAGUGCCAGAGGACCUGAGGGACCUACUGUGUAGAUAACUUAAAAGUGUUUCUGACAUGUAUUGUGGUGCACAUUCGUGGAUUGAUUAAAAAAAUAAGAAUCUUAAAAUCAAUUCUAAAAGUCACAGGCAGCCAGUGCAGAGACCAUAAAUGUGUGUAAUGUGUGCUCUCCAUCUGAUCUUGGUCAGUACCCAUGCUGCAGCAUUCUGUAUGUUUUGCAGUUGACCAAUGGCUUUCUUGGGUAGACCAGACAGGAGAGCAUUACAGUAGCCAAGCCUUCUUGUAAUAAAAGCAUGGGUGUCUCUCUAUAACAGCCUGAGAGAGAAACAGCUGAACCAUGGCAAUGUUCCUCAGUUUGUAAAAAUCUAUUUUCGUCACAUUCCUAAUGUGUGAUAAAAAAUUUUGUUCAGAAUUGAAAAUAACACCUAGGUUUCUUUGCUGUUUUUUAUCUUUAUUGCCCGUGAAUUCAAAUGUGCAGCUAGAUUCUCUCUUGUGCUUUGGCUCCAACAAUAAGUACCUUGGUCUUGUCUUGAUUUAGCUGGAAGAAUUUGUGAGUAUUUAAAUCACUAUUACAGUGUAAUAAUUUAUUGUGGAGCACCUCUGGUGACACAGAAAUUUGUAUCUGCGUAGCAAUGCUGUGUUUUCUGAUAACACUGCCAAGGGGUAACAUAUUUAAACUGAACAGUACCGGACCCAAAAUCUAACCUUGUGGAAAACCACAUGUGAUGUGUAUUUUCUCUGAGUAUGUGUAUGUUCACCGCUAGCGGGACACCAGCCGACAACAUCCGGUGAAAUUGGACGGCGCGCAUUUCAAAUAAAUAAUUGUAAUAUUAAACAUUCAUGAACAUACAAGUAUCUUAUAUCAUUUAAAUGCUUAAAUUCUUGUUAAUCUAACUGCAUUGUCCGAUUUCCAAUAGGCUUUAGGGCGAAAGCAUACCAUGCGAUUGUCUGAGGACGGCGCCCCAAAUCAACAUAUUUUUCAACCAGCACAGGUUUCAUAAAAUCACAAAUACCGAUAAAUAAAAUCACUUACUUUUGAAGAUUUGGAAGAUUUUUUUGAAGAUUUUUUGUAGAAACCUUUGAAGAUUUUCCUCUGUUUGCAAUCCCAAGGGUCCCAGCUACAACAUGAUUGGUUGUUUUGUUAGAUAAAAUCAUUCUUUAUAUCCGAAAAAGUCUGUUUAGUUGUCCAAAAAGAUACCACUAAACUUUGUCCAAACAAGUCAAACGACGUUUCUAUUUCCUCCUCAGGUACUCUAAAAUGUAAAUAAAUUAUACUAUUUCAUACGGAAAGUAGUAUGUUCAAUAGGAAAGCAAAAGUAAGAGCGCCCUCUCCUUCGUGCGCCGAAUGACUGAUAUUGUUCCGGUGCUCUCCUAACCAAAACUCAAAAUUCUUGCUUGUUUUAAAAAAACAAGCCUGAGACCUUGAACAAAGACAUCUAGUGGAAGCCAUAGGAAUUGCAAUUACAUAGGUACAAUUAGUUUCCAUAAUGAGAGCCUGGGACCUUAACAAAACAUUUAUUCUGGUUGUUUUUUCUUUUGAUUUAUGCCUGCCAUAUCAAUUAUGUUAUAGCCUCAGACAUUAUUUAACAGUUGUAGAAACUUCAAAGUAUUUCCUAUCCAAUGCUACCAAUUAUAUGCAUAUCCUGGCUUCUGGGCCUGAGUAACAGGCAGUUUACUUUGGGCAUGUCAGUCAGGCAGAAACUCAGGAAACUAGACCCUACCCUAACAAGUUUUUAACAAUAGCUUGCACUUCUUCAGAUAUGCAAUUAAAACUGUUUUGAAGAAGGUGGUGGGGAUAGGAUCGAGAAGGCAGGUUUCUUAGAUUUUUCAGAGACCUCAAAAGUCAUCCCCUUAUGUGGUUUAAGCAUUGUUGUGAACACAGAAAAUCCAAUGUUGUUGUUUUCUAUGAAAAAGUGUGAAAAAACUGGGGUAAACCAUUAAAAAAAAAUCUGAAACCUGUAUAAACAAAACCAAGGAAACGGAAUUUGGGGAAAAUUUUUCCCCAAAAAUAUUAACUGAUUUUAAAAGGCUAUACCAACGUUUUUUUGCUGUGCAUGACUGCACUUUAGAGUGUGUGUCAUCCUGCAGCACAACAUUUUGGGGGAAGUUGAGAUCAGGUCCAAUAUUGAUUGUGCACCCAAGAGGCAAAGAGGUUGGACCAUCCUAGAAAUGUUUAGUGAAAUGUAAUAUAAUAUAUAACAUUUAGCAGACACUUUUAUCCAAAGCGACUUACAGUCAUGCCUGAAUAUAUUUUUAAGUAUGGCUGGUCCCAGGAAUCGAAACCCAAUAUCUAGGCGUUGCAAUGCUCUACCAAGAUGCAUGACAGGGUUAUAAAUGCUUUUUGAAGCCUCAAUUUGAAUGAUUUAUAAGGCUUUAUUAAGCGGUGCUUAUGCCACCCUAUAAAAAGCACAGAUUUAUGUCAUAUUUGACAUUGGUGGUUAUGUCACACAGUUAUGCCACAUUAAUGAGCCCUUAUAAGCUGCACGUCAUUUAAUGCGGGACCCAUUAGGUCAUGACUAUCAAAAGGCAUUUUAAGAAAUUGUAAAGAAAAAAACUCUGAAAACGCUGUUUUCUGCAACAUGAUAUCAUAGGGAAACAUAAGACCACAGGCUGUGAGGAUUGGCAACAACAUCUCCUGCACACUGACUCCUAAUUUAGAGACCCCCAGGGGUGUGUCCUCAGACCUUUGCUGUACUCCCUGUUCACGACACCAACUUCAUCAAGUUUGCUGACGAAACCAUUGUUGUAGGCCUAAUAACCAACAACGACGAGUCAGCCUAUAGGGAGAAUGUAAGUAACAACGUCUCCCUCAACAUCAGCAAAACAAAGAGGCUGAUUGUUGACUUCAGGAAACAGAGGGAACAUGGCCUGAUCAACAUCAACGGAACUGCAGUAGAGAGAGUCAGCAGUUUUAUGUUCUUCGGUGUCCACAUCACGGACCAACAACAUCACCAAUCUUGACAUGGACCAAGAACACCUCCAUUUCUCUACAUCCUAAGGUGACUGAAGAAAUUUGGCAUGCCACCCCGGGUCCUCUCCAAACACUACCCCUGGACCAUCGAGAGCGUCCUGACCGGUUGCAUCACAGGAAUUGCUCCGUCCACAACUGAAAGGACCUCCAGCGGGUGGUGACGACGGCACAUCACUGGGACCGUGCUCCCACCCAUCCAGGACAUUUACUCGAAACGGUGCCUGAGGAAGGCCAUCAACAUCAUCACACCCCAGCCACGAGCUGCAAGAGGUCUGAUAGAAACUGUCUCUGAGCCUGUUGCUAUCUCCAAGCCAUCAGACUGCUGAAUACUUCAACUGGACUGACCACGUGCACUGAUUCUCAGCACUUUAGCACACUUGCACUCACUCACACACCUACACAACCACACACCCAUGCUACACACACAUCAUGCUGCACACACACACAAAUCACAACUGAUGCUACCAGGCUCUUAUUAUGAUUGCUAAAUACUGCACGAUUUAAACACUUGCCCCCCAAUCCGUCCUUCCCUAAAACACGUGUAAAUAUUGGACUAUAAGUUGUGCCUUCCUCUAUCGAACUUAUGCUAAAAUGUUCAUCAUUACCUACUUCGCUAUCACUUUGUGUUUGUAUUCUUAUCUUUUGUUAUUUCUUAUUAUUUUUGCAUUGUCGAGAAGGAACCUGCAAUUAAGCAUUUAGUUGGAUGGUGUAUAGCAUGUGUAUCCCAUACAUACGACUAAUAAAACGUCAAACUGUCACAUUUUUGCAAUAAGUUAGGCAUCAACCACUUGAUGCUUAUGUCAAUACAUCACAGUCAAUGGG